GUUCUAACUAUAUGAUAUUGUUUAUUUGUGUUUACAUGUUUUAACUCGUGUUUCUAGAACACAUUUAGUAUAAGUGUGUUAUUUUGUGUAAGUGUGCCGUUAAUCAAAACAUAAAGCUGCUUUUACUUCUUUUUGUCAAUACAAAUGAUACAAAGAACUGUUUUCUUACAUUGUUUGUGAAUUUAAUAAGAAAGAUUGUAUUAUACAGAAAUGAACAAAUAUUUUUUGUAAUAACUCUUUUUUUUAUUAGUCAUUGUACCACAAUGUGAAACCAAGAAGCCCGUUCAACUUGUCAAGCGCAUAUGUGUUAAUCAUACUUUAUUGCCACAAAAACUGUGUUAUCUACUUACCUACUUACCAUACCUUUUUUUAAAGAGCAUUCAUAAUAAAUUAUCAGUUAGAAACAAUUGGCCACAGAAUGUACAAAGCAAUGCCUUGUUAAUAAACUAUUUGCUGUGAUUCACAAUUUUAGGAAGAAAUUUUCAGAAAAUGAAAAAGAG
Non-coding RNA from Hydra vulgaris (swiftwater hydra), 500 nucleotides. NCBI's taxonomy places the organism in Eukaryota, Metazoa, Cnidaria, Hydrozoa, Anthoathecata, Hydridae. The record is from RefSeq and is a predicted model, not a curated record.